CCUACGGGGUGCAGCAGUAGGGAAUCUUCCGCAAUGGGCGAAAGCCUGACGGAGCAACGCCGCGUGAGUGAUGAAGGUCUUCGGAUCGUAAAACUCUGUUGUUAGGGAAGAACAAAUUUGUUAGUAACUGAACAGGUCUUGACGGUACCUGACCAGAAAGCCACGGCUAACUACGUGCCAGCAGCCGCGGUAAUACGUAGGUGGCAAGCGUUAUCCGGAAUUAUUGGGCGUAAAGCGCGCGUAGGCGGUUUCUUAAGUCUGAUGUGAAAGCCCACGGCUCAACCGUGGAGGGUCAUUGGAAACUGGGAAACUUGAGUGGAGAGGAGGAGAGUGGAAUUCCAUGUGUAGCGGUGAAAUGCGCAGAGAUAUGGAGGAACACCAGUGGCGAAGGCGGCUCUCUGGUCUGUAACUGACGCUGAUGUGCGAAAGCGUGGGGAUCAAACAGGAUUAGAUACCCGUGUAGUC
This 465-nucleotide ribosomal RNA is filed under the name uncultured bacterium. Its description in RNAcentral is "bacterial SSU rRNA". It matches the Rfam family "Bacterial small subunit ribosomal RNA", at positions 338 to 795 of the family's 1533-position model. The record is from RNAcentral.